CCUACGGGUGGCAGCAGUGAGGAAUAUUGGUCAAUGGGCGCGAGCCUGAACCAGCCAAGUAGCGUGAAGGAUGACUGCCCUACGGGUUGUAAACUUCUUUUAUAAAGGAAUAAAGUGAGGCACGUGUGCCUUUUUGUAUGUACUUUAUGAAUAAGGAUCGGCUAACUCCGUGAAAGCAGCCGCGGGAAUACGGAGGAUACGAGCGUUAUCCGGAUUUAUUGGGUUUAAAGGGAGCGUAGAUGGGUUGUUAAGUCAGUUGUGAAAGUUUGCGGCUCAACCGUAAAAUUGCAAUUGAUACUGGAAGUCUUGAGUACAGUUGAGGUAGUCGGAAUUCGUGGUGUAGCGGUGAAAUGCUUAGAUAUCACGAAGAACUCCGAUUGCGAAGGCAGCUUACUAAACUGCCACUGACAUUGAUGCUCGAAAGUGUGGGUAUCAAACAGGAUGAGAUACCCGAGUAGUC
This 460-nucleotide ribosomal RNA is filed under the name uncultured bacterium. Its description in RNAcentral is "partial 16S ribosomal RNA". It matches the Rfam family "Bacterial small subunit ribosomal RNA", at positions 338 to 795 of the family's 1533-position model. The record is from RNAcentral.